CCCCCCCCCCCCCCCCCCCCCCCCCCCCCCCCCCCCCCCCCCCCCCCCCCCCCCCCCCCCCCCCCCCCCCCCCCCCCCCCCCCCCCCCCCCCCCCCCCCCCCCCCCCCCCCGGCGCGGGGGGAGGGAGGUGAAGGGGUGGGAAGGGGCUGCUGCAGCCCCUCGUCCGUGGAGGAUUCCUGGGAAUCAUCGAAUCAGCAAAUCCCGGAUUGGUUUGGGUGGGAAGGGACGUUAAAGCUCAUUUCAUUGCACCCCUGCCCUGGCCAGGGACAUCUCCCACCGUCCCAGGGACACCUCCCACUGUCCCGGGCUGCUCCAAGCCCCAUCCAACCUGGCCUUGGGCACUUCCAGGGAUGGAGCAACCCCAGCUUCUCUGGGAAAUCCACUCCCGUGCCUCACCACCCUCGCAGGGAAGGAUUUCUUCCCAGUAUCCCAUGGACGCGAUGGGUGGGGGCACCUCCCUCGGGAGGUCACUGCGUCUCAGCCACCCCCAGCCCACCUUCCCUGCGCCUUUGCCCCCUUUCCAAGCCCAUUUUGGCUGGCGACAGACACGGACCUGGUGGCGAGCGUCGGCAUCGCCGCCCCCGAGCUUUGCCGGGGAGCGAUUUCUCCCCCAGGCACGGAGCGAGCAUCCAUUCCCCUCGGAGCUCCUCUCUCGCAAGCAAAACGCAUCUGGGGGAACACAUAAAUCCCCGAAAUUCCCAGCUUUCAGCCCCAAGGAGCCUGUCCCCGUGUCACAGCCGAGGUGCCAUUGAGCUGAGCUGUUUGUCACCAGAGCCGGGUUGGGAAGCGGGAGGGUAAACACGGAUGAACAGCCUUCACCCGCUCCAGUAAAUAUUUUAUAUCCCACACCAAGAAAAGACACUCCUAUUUAAAUGAUUUAUCAAGGAAGAUCAUGUAGAGGUUUCCAUAAAAUAUGUAGGGCUCCUAAUCCCGACAUCAUCAAGCCAAGAGGACCGGAAUCAUUUAUUACCUUCCCAACAGCCGCGCGGCUGCGGGGACGCGACUGACAAAUAAAAGUGUGUUUACAGCUUUUGGGCUCCUCUGGGGAGAGGUAAAUCACGGCGGGGGUGGGAAGGGGAAAAGGAGCCGGAAAUUAAGCGGCAAUUCCUGUCCGUCAGGGCGGUGCGGGGCGGGGGAUGCCGGACACGGCGAGUCCCAGUGUCCCCCGGUGUCCCCCGGUGUCCCCAUCGCGGCUGCCGCGUUCUCCGGUGGGAUUUCUGGGGUGGGCGUUGGGUGUAACCACUCUGGGAUGCCCAGAUGUGGCCAGAUGUUGGUGCACGUCGAGUCUGUGCUGGGAUGGGAUCUGCAGGGAUGUCACACCUUUCCCCAUUUCCAGGGGGGGUCCUGGGGAUGGACACGCGGCACAAACCCCUCUGGGAUGCCCAGAUGUGCCCAGAUGUCCUGCAGGUCGCAGCUGGACAGGGAUCAGCCAUCUGGGAUGGGUUUUUGUGGGCAUCAGCAGAAUCAGGAUGGGGCCCACAGGGAUCGACCUCUUCCCCCUCGGAGCUGGCACCCACCCCACGCUCC
Molecule: long non-coding RNA, 1528 nt
Filed under: Ficedula albicollis (Collared flycatcher)
Lineage: Eukaryota; Metazoa; Chordata; Aves; Passeriformes; Muscicapidae
Description: lncRNA (ENSFALG00000024502.1)
Source: RNAcentral